This 3124-nucleotide long non-coding RNA is filed under the name Carassius auratus (goldfish). Its description in RNAcentral is "lncRNA (ENSCARG00000021954.1)". Lineage: Eukaryota; Metazoa; Chordata; Actinopteri; Cypriniformes; Cyprinidae. The record is from RNAcentral.
AUGGAUCAAUCUGCGGACGGAAAUAUAGAAAGCAAACAGAAUUCUGCGAAACCGUUUUGUCAGCGCUAUUUAGUGUCUUUUCCAACCAUAGUGUGUCUAGUGUUAUCGCUGAGUUCAAUAGCGGUGUGUUUUCUCAUGAGUUUCAAAACGCAUCAGAUGGAGAGCAGGCUGCGCGAGCUGGAGAUAAAGAUGACUGACAUCUGUCAAGAAUCACCCAAGGACAUCUCUGUCCCACAGGAACUGCGGGAAUCCAUUGAAACACUCUUACAGGAGAGGGUGAAUGAAGCGAUGCCAAAGUUGCGUGUGGCGAGAGACGUGACACAAGACUGCAACUGUCCUCCAGGUACGUCCACGUAUCUGCUCUCAGAACAGUGUUCAGUUCAAAAAUGUGGGAUGAAACCUUACAGAAACUGAUAAAUUCAUCAAUUUCUUGUUCUUGAACAGUGAUUGCAAAGCUGUGAUGUGGAUGAGAGGAAUAUUUGAUUCUGAUUGGUCAGUUAAAUAUUGUUGGAUAAUGAUGCUUAACUGUAAAGUCAUUUAUUUCCUACAUAAUUAUGUAGUUUGAUGUUUCUCAUUUCAUUAUUUUAAAGAUACCUUAAAUGUUUAAUGUCUGUUUAGAAGUCAUAUAAUCAGUCUUUCAUGCUUUUAGAGUUUAUUGAGUGAUUAUUUUGGCUGACUGCAGUCGUUACGUGCAGGGUUUCUUAAGGCAAUUACAAUUAGUAAAGAUUAUAUUCACUUUACACAGCUCUAUGCAUUUCCAAUUGUGAUUAUAAAUACAGAGGGGAGGAGAAAACGUGCAGCUGUUGCAUAUUGAUGAAUUGGUGGUUGCGGAGAGGUUUUUUUUGGGCUCCUCUUUCACAAAAUGUGGUUGUUAAACAUGGGGUUGGUGGUAAUUUGAGUUUGGGUGCAUUGAGAAACUUCGAGGAACUGCUAUCCUUCUUUUUCACAAUCCCUCUUUACAUUGAGUCAUGGUGCCCUUUAAAAUCCAGUGUUUCCAUAAAUGUAUGCUGGUUCACAUCUGAGGGGAGACAUUGAUGUCGCAGGACAAGAGGGAGGUCAUAAGCAUCUGUUUAUAGGUUCUGAGCGUGAGUGUGUGUGUGAAGGGGCCCCGAGUAUGCGUCUGUGUGAGUGUGUGUGUAUUUCUGUUUGUUUGUGUGGGUAGUGCUGCAGAAGGCCCAACAGAAGAACUGAACUGUAAGGUGAGACCCUUUCAUUUUAGAAGCAAUGGUUGCCACCUGAAACCUGAAGCGUUUUGAGCGGUCCUGGCAGGCAGGAUCAGAGGGAGAAGUAUUUCUGUCUGCACAACAGACAUGAGCCCAAAGCGCUCGCCAUUGGGCAGGAUAUAAUGCCCCCUACAGGAGAUGUUUGGAAGGACACUGAUGGGAGUUUAAAGGGGUCAUACGAUGUUGAUAAAAAGAAAAUUAUUUAGUAUAAUGCAAUGUGUUUAUGCCGGAGGUGUUGAAUGAGCCGCUGCCCUCUUUCUUUGUGUGAACAUUUGGACUGCAUUAUGCAAAUCUUCCCACAUAGUGACGUAGCUAUGUGGGGCGUGUUAGAAUGAGCCGUUUUAGGGGGGUGUGGAUGAGUCUUAAUUUUAAUAAAGAAUAUCUCUUUGGGUUUGAGACUUUAAUCUUUGCAACUUUACAGAUCUUCUUUAUGCACCAAGAGCUUGUAACAUUCUAAAGAGAACGGAAAAAUUGAAAUCGCAUCAUAUGACCCCUUUAAAACCUGACUGACUAUUUGUUAAGCACAAAAGUUUAUUAGAUUUUUUUAUAUAAUUAAAACAUGAUAUUAAAAUAUAUUAAAAAAUCAGUCUACUUUAAUUUGGAAAAUUCCAUUUUUUUAAAACCCAUACAUAAUAAUAAUUAUUUCAGGGCUUUUAUCAUUAUUAUUGAUUGUGAAAGCCUUUAAAAAAAAAAAAUGGAUUUAGAAAAUGGAGAGCAUUUUUUAAAGUAAUUAAUUAAUUAAUUAAUUAUUUUUUAACUUUUAUUGAACACACCCUUGAAGAGUUGAAUUUUUAAAAUGGGAAAGAAUUGACCAUGCUAACCACAACUGUGAUGUUUUUUACUUUCUAAGAUUUUUCAGAAUUGUAGAAAUGCACUUGCAGGAGUUGUAGACGGUCGCUGUCAUGUCUUUCUCCUUAAGCACAUAGUUUCUUUCAUUUCUACUUCCUCUAUUCAUCUCCACAGUAGAGUGAGUUCCCCUAAUUAUCUGUCGACUGAGAUGGUUGUCCUUGCAUGCUAAACAAUUCCCCAUCUGUUAUCACCCUUUUCCACCAAACACCAGGCCCUGUUUGACAACAAGCUGUAACUCUCAAAUGAAAGCACGAGAGGUCUUUAACUCGGUCAAAUCUCCCUGUUUCAUUUUUCAGGCUUGCAUGUUCUCUGUCACUCUAUUUAGUCCUUGGAAAUGUAGGACAAGGUCAUGGAUGCAUUUCUCCCCUUUCCUACAAUCAUUGUCUCUAAGGAUUUAUUGUCUUUCAUCACCCUUUUUUGAAAGUCUAUUCAGGGAAACAUCUGAGCUGUAGGUGUGGUGUGUGUUUUGUAGUGAUUGACUGAAGCUAGAGGUCUCUUUGUCUUAUGCCUAUUUCACUUGAAGAAAUUCUGAUUAACUGAUUCAUUUUUUAACACAUUAAUACUUUGUGUGAAUGGACUAGGAUUAUCUGUGUCCUGUUUGUUGUGUAUAGUGAACCUGUAUCUCAAACAGUACAGCAUUGCAUUAGGAAUGCCAAGAUCAUGGGAUCAGUUCUGAGGAUUUGCAUGAAUUGAUAAAAUGAGUUUGCUAAAUGCAAUAUAAAUGUCUUUUGAUAAAAGCAUAAAUGCAUAAAUGUAAAUGCAUUCCAUGUUUUGCCUAGUCUAAGCCUCAAAAAUCAUGCUCAUGGACCACCUGCUGAAAGUCUGAUGAAUGCUGCACAGAAAAAUGGCAAUCAAUUUCUUAACCUCAAAUCUGAUUUGCUGGCUGGUAUCCAAAUGAUGCUUCACAGCAUUAUGCAGCUGAAACAGUAGAGAAUGCUACUGAUAUAUCAGGACUGAGGGUUUGAUUCCCAUGGAGGUCAGUAAUCAAAGGAGUUGCUCACCCAAAAAUGACAACUGAAAACUGCUGAAAAUGCACCCUCAGUUCAUCCAAG